RNAcentral lists this ribosomal RNA (465 nucleotides) under Vreelandella stevensii. RNAcentral describes it as "partial 16S ribosomal RNA". It matches the Rfam family "Bacterial small subunit ribosomal RNA", at positions 338 to 795 of the family's 1533-position model. Lineage: Bacteria; Pseudomonadati; Pseudomonadota; Gammaproteobacteria; Oceanospirillales; Halomonadaceae. The record is from RNAcentral.
CCUACGGGAGGCAGCAGUGGGGAAUAUUGGACAAUGGGGGGAACCCUGAUCCAGCCAUGCCGCGUGUGUGAAGAAGGCCCUCGGGUUGUAAAGCACUUUCAGUGAGGAAGAACGCCUGGUGGUUAAUACCCAUCAGGAAAGACAUCACUCACAGAAGAAGCACCGGCUAACUCCGUGCCAGCAGCCGCGGUAAUACGGAGGGUGCUAGCGUUAAUCGGAAUUACUGGGCGUAAAGCGCGCGUAGGUGGCUUGAUAAGCCGGUUGUGAAAGCCCCGGGCUCAACCUGGGAACGGCAUCCGGAACUGUCAAGCUAGAGUGCAGGAGAGGAAGGUAGAAUUCCCGGUGUAGCGGUGAAAUGCGUAGAGAUCGGGAGGAAUACCAGUGGCGAAGGCGGCCUUCUGGACUGACACUGACACUGAGGUGCGAAAGCGUGGGUAGCAAACAGGAUUAGAUACCCUAGUAGUC